Vigna unguiculata (cowpea) is the source of this 858-nucleotide long non-coding RNA. The record is from RefSeq and is a predicted model, not a curated record. NCBI's taxonomy places the organism in Eukaryota, Viridiplantae, Streptophyta, Magnoliopsida, Fabales, Fabaceae.
UUCUCUUUAGAAUCAUUGCAACUGCAACACCCAUUUGAAUGGAAUGAUGGUGGCUGAGAAAGUUUUAACACUUCCUCCAAUUUAUUUUUUUUCUUGCUUCACAGGACUUGAAUGUCUAUGUAGAAAAUAAUAAUAUAUUAACUACUACAGUGGUGGCAGUGGAAACACACAUGGUGCAAGUGCAGAUUCCAGCUGCUGAAACCUCUAUGAUCGAAGAUCCAUCUGUACUCUGAAUGGGUUUGGAGCAAUAAUUCGAGAGAGAGAGAAAGAAGAGAGAGAGAGAUAUGACAGAAAAGAACAUGCCCCCUUUCUUCCUCUCCCAAAGGCAAAGGCCCCUCUUUCCUCUCAGGAAAUUGGUGAACGAAUUGAAGGCUAAAGAGAAGAACAAUAAAUGAAAUUUCACAAAAAGCAGAAAUCAGAAAAUUAUUAAAAAAAUCCAACACCUGCCACGUGUUGCAAUUAAAUGGCCACUGGAAGAGUCAAAGCAAAAAAGUGGACUGGUGCGUAGUUGAGCUCGUGUAUUACUGAUCAUUGACUCUUGCCAGCUGUCACAUUGUAUAUUAUAUAUUAUAUCUCUUAUCCUUUCUUCUGAUCCAUUAUAUAUUAACAUGUUUCCUCAGAAAGUUAUGUUGUGAGAUUAAGAAAUCGGAAGAAAAUAAAUGAAGAGAUGGAGACUAGAAUGAACAACAUAUUAGGCCAUGAUUGUUGUGGCUGUUUUUAGUUUCUCAGAGACCAAGCCGAAAGGCGUAGGUAGAGAUAGUGGUUCUUUGAUUAUGAGUGGUCAUCGAAAAUCAUGGUAACAAAAUCCAUUAAUGUGUGGUCAUAGUUAACAAUAACAAAAUGGGACUGAUUUUCAAA